This 116-nucleotide non-coding RNA is filed under the name Absidia glauca. RNAcentral describes it as "TPP sequence". It matches the Rfam family "TPP riboswitch aptamer (THI element)". Rfam says of the family: Vitamin B(1) in its active form thiamin pyrophosphate (TPP) is an essential coenzyme that is synthesised by coupling of pyrimidine and thiazole moieties in bacteria. The previously detected thiamin-regulatory element, thi box was extended, resulting in a new, highly conserved RNA secondary structure, the THI element, which is widely distributed in eubacteria and also occurs in some archaea. Lineage: Eukaryota; Fungi; Mucoromycota; Mucoromycetes; Mucorales; Cunninghamellaceae. The record is from Rfam by way of RNAcentral.
CAUGACUCAAAGGGGUGCUUCAUUGGGAUGCAUUUAUGUGUCUCUUUGUCGCUGAGAUUAUACUCUUAUAAGCUGACCAGGGUAAUACCUGCGUAGUGAUUGAGCCAAUGAUCGGG